UUUAACUGAAGAGUUUGAUCAUGGCUCAGAUUGAACGCUGGCGGCAGGCUUAACACAUGCAAGUCGAGCGGGGGAAGGUAGCUUGCUACUGGACCUAGCGGCGGACGGGUGAGUAAUGCUUAGGAAUCUGCCUAUUAGUGGGGGACAACAUCUCGA
RNAcentral lists this ribosomal RNA (156 nucleotides) under Acinetobacter baumannii. Its description in RNAcentral is "partial 16S ribosomal RNA". It matches the Rfam family "Bacterial small subunit ribosomal RNA", at positions 1 to 154 of the family's 1533-position model. The record is from RNAcentral. Lineage: Bacteria; Pseudomonadati; Pseudomonadota; Gammaproteobacteria; Moraxellales; Moraxellaceae.